This 460-nucleotide ribosomal RNA is filed under the name uncultured bacterium. Its description in RNAcentral is "partial 16S ribosomal RNA". It matches the Rfam family "Bacterial small subunit ribosomal RNA", at positions 338 to 795 of the family's 1533-position model. The record is from RNAcentral.
CCUACGGGGGGCAGCAGUGAGGAAUAUUGGUCAAUGGGCGGAAGCCUGAACCAGCCAAGUCGCGUGAGGGAUUAAGGCCCUGCGGGUCGUAAACCUCUUUUGCCGGGGAGCAGAGGUCCGGACGUGUCCGGGCCGGGAGAGUACCCGGAGAAAAAGCAUCGGCAAACUCCGUGCCCGCAGCCGCGGUAAUACGGAGGAUGCGAGCAUUAUCCGGAUUUAGUGGGUUAAAGGGGUGCGUAGGCGGGCAUUUAAGCCGGCGGGCAAAUGUCGGGGCUCAACCCCGGCCUGCCGUCGGAACUGGGUGGCUUGAGUGGGCGAGAAGUAUGAGGAAUGCGUGGUGUAGCGGUGAAAUGCAUAGAUAUCACGCAGAACCCCGAUUGCGAAGGCAGCAUACCGGCGCCCUACUGACGCUGAGGCACGAAAGUGCGGGUAUCGAACAGGAUUAGAUACCCGUGUAGUC